RNAcentral lists this ribosomal RNA (756 nucleotides) under uncultured bacterium. RNAcentral's name for it is "bacterial SSU rRNA". It matches the Rfam family "Bacterial small subunit ribosomal RNA", at positions 28 to 769 of the family's 1533-position model. The record is from RNAcentral.
GAUGAACGCUAGCUACAGGCUUAACACGUGCAAGUCGAGGGGAAACGAUAGAGAAAGCUUGCUUUUUCUAGGCGUCGACCGGCGCACGGGUGAGUAACGCGUAUCCAACCUGCCCACCACUUGGGGAUAACCUUGCGAAAGUAAGACUAAUACCCAAUGACGUCUCUAGAAGACAUCUGAAAGGGAUUAAAGAUUUAUCGGUGAUGGAUGGGGAUGCGUCUGAUUAGCUUGUUGGCGGGGUAACGGCCCACCAAGGCAACGAUCAGUAGGGGUUCUGAGAGGAAGGUCCCCCACAUUGGAACUGAGACACGGUCCAAACUCCUACGGGAGGCAGCAGUGAGGAAUAUUGGUCAAUGGACGUAAGUCUGAACCAGCCAAGUAGCGUGCAGGAUGAAGGCCCUCCGGGUCGUAAACUGCUUUUGGGUGAGGGUAAAAGGCGGGACGUGUCCUGCGUAUUGCAAGUAUCACCCGAAUAAGGACCGGCUAAUUCCGUGCCAGCAGCCGCGGUAAUACGGAAGGUCCGGGCGUUAUCCGGAUUUAUUGGGUUUAAAGGGAGCGCAGGCGGUUCUUCAAGUCAGCUGUGAAAACGCGGGGCUCAACCUCGCGCCUGCAGUUGAUACUGUUGAACUUGAGUGCACACAGGGAUGUUGGAAUUCAUGGUGUAGCGGUGAAAUGCUUAGAUAUCAUGAAGAACUCCGAUCGCGAAGGCAUAUGUCCGGUGUGUUACUGACGCUGAGGCUCGAAAGCGCGGGUAUC